Molecule: transfer RNA, 40 nt
Filed under: Aquilaria yunnanensis
Lineage: Eukaryota; Viridiplantae; Streptophyta; Magnoliopsida; Malvales; Thymelaeaceae
Description: partial tRNA-His
Source: RNAcentral
GCGGAUGUAGCCAAGUGGAUUAAGGCAGUGGAUUGUGAAC